AGCGGGGUAGAGCAGCCUGGAGUGCUCGCCAGGCCCAUAACCUGGAGGUCGUGCGGUUCAAAUCCCACCCCCGCUA
RNAcentral lists this transfer RNA (76 nucleotides) under archaeon. Its description in RNAcentral is "tRNA-Met". It matches the Rfam family "tRNA". From Rfam's summary of the family: Transfer RNA (tRNA) molecules are approximately 80 nucleotides in length. RNAcentral also lists the same sequence under 1 other name. The record is from RNAcentral.